This 154-nucleotide ribosomal RNA is filed under the name Lactobacillus iners. Its description in RNAcentral is "partial 23S ribosomal RNA". It matches the Rfam family "Bacterial large subunit ribosomal RNA", at positions 2773 to 2925 of the family's 2925-position model. Lineage: Bacteria; Bacillati; Bacillota; Bacilli; Lactobacillales; Lactobacillaceae. The record is from RNAcentral.
GAAAGCAUCUAAGUGCGAAGCCCCCCUCAAGAUGAGAUUUCCGAAGCGAAAGCAGUAAGACACCUUAGAGACGAUGAGGUAGAUAGGCCGGGAGUGGAAGAGCAGUGAUGCUUGGAGCGGACCGGUACUAAUAAGUCGAGAACUUGACCAAAAA